Molecule: long non-coding RNA, 1432 nt
Organism: Ictalurus punctatus (channel catfish)
Lineage: Eukaryota; Metazoa; Chordata; Actinopteri; Siluriformes; Ictaluridae
Source: Ensembl
UGAUUGGUCAAGAAGGUGUUGAUUAAUUUUCUAUAACAGCACGGCUCAGGCACCAGUGCCGGUUGUAAUUCAAAUAAUAGUUUAAUACCAGUGUGCUCAAUCUGAUAUGUUAUCAUUUCUUAAGUAACAGCCAAAUCAUAGCGACUUCUAUAGCGGACAUUCUACAAAAUCUAAGCCUAGUAAUAAAUGAAAUAAAAACAUGACCGUUAAAUAAAAGUGGAUCAUUUUUUAUAUGGUGAAGCUUGGUCAUGUUCAUUGGUUGUACUUGUGUCAUGUACACCGACUAGCCAUAACAUUAAAAACCAUCUGCCGAAUAUUGUGUAGGUCCCCCUUGUGCCGCCAAAACAGCUCUGACCAGAUCAUUUAAGCCCUGUAAGUUGCGAUGUGGGGACGCCAUGGAUCAGACUUGUUAGCCCAGCACAUCCCACAGAUUGAGAUCUGGGGAAUUUGGGGGUCAGUCAACACCUUGAACUCUUUGUCAUGUUCCUUAAACCAUUCCUGAACAAUUUUUGCAGUGUGGCAGGGCUUAUUAUCCUACUGAAAGAAGCCACUGCCAUUAGGGAACACUGUUGCCAUGAAGGCGUGUGCAGUACUCGGUCUGCAACAAUGUUUAAGUAGGUGGUACGUGUCAAAAUAACAUCCACAUGAAUGCCAGGACCGAACGUUUCCCAGCAGAACAUUGCGCCAGAUUAUCACACUGCCUCUGCCGGCUUGCCUUCUUCCCAUAAAACAUCCUGGCACGAUCUCUUCCUCGAGUAAGCAACACACAUGCACCCGACCAGCCACAUGAUGUACAAGAAAAUAUGAGUCAUCAGACCAGGCUAUUUUCUUCCAUUGCUCCAUGGUCUAGUUCUGAUGCUCACGUCCCCAUUUUAGGUGCUUUCUGCAGUUGACAGGGGUCAGCAUGGGCACUCUGACUGGUUUGUAACUACGCAGCCCCACACAUAACAAUCUGCAAUGCACUGUGUGUUCUGUCACCUUCCUAUCAUAUCCAGCACUAACUUUUUCAGCAAUUUGUGCUACAGUAUCCCUUCUGUUUGACAGGACCAGAUGGGCUAACUUUCACACACCAUGCACAUCAAUAAGCCUUGGGUGCCCUUGACCAAGUCGUCUAGCAGAGAGGUUCUCAAACUUUUUCAGUGUGAGGCCCCCCUUAUGUAGGGUGCAUCUCCUUGUGGCCCACAAGAGUUGUCAGAGUUUUGCAAUUUUUUUUUUUUUUUUCCACGCUAGGCUCUUCUGUAUUAACUUUGUCAGCUAAGAGACUACGUCCUCUAUCUAAAAACAUCAUGUUAAAUAGUCUUAGGUUUUAUCAGUGUGUGGCUAACAGUAUUGUGCACUAGUAUAUCAGUGCUGGGUAUAAUUGAUUUAACUUAUUAAUAUUUCUCAUUUAUAUGUACAUCGUUGUUCAACGGUUCACAAUCCCGAUUUACAU